RNAcentral lists this ribosomal RNA (451 nucleotides) under uncultured bacterium. Its description in RNAcentral is "partial 16S ribosomal RNA". It matches the Rfam family "Bacterial small subunit ribosomal RNA", at positions 354 to 796 of the family's 1533-position model. The record is from RNAcentral.
GUGGGGAAUAUUGGACAAUGGGGGGAACCCUGAUCCAGCCAUGCCGCGUGUGUGAAGAAGGCCUUUUGGUUGUAAAGCACUUUAAGCGAGGAGGAGGCUUACCUGGUUAAUACCUAGGAUAAGUGGACGUUACUCGCAGAAUAAGCACCGGCUAACUCUGUGCCAGCAGCCGCGGUAAUACAGAGGGUGCGAGCGUUAAUCGGAUUUACUGGGCGUAAAGCGCGCGUAGGUGGUUAAUUAAGUCAAAUGUGAAAUCCCCGAGCUUAACUUGGGAAUUGCAUUCGAUACUGGUUAGCUAGAGUAUGGGAGAGGAUGGUAGAAUUCCAGGUGUAGCGGUGAAAUGCGUAGAGAUCUGGAGGAAUACCGAUGGCGAAGGCAGCCAUCUGGCCUAAUACUGACACUGAGGUGCGAAAGCAUGGGGAGCAAACAGGAUUAGAUACCCUUGUAGUCC